This 525-nucleotide long non-coding RNA is filed under the name Apteryx owenii (little spotted kiwi). Its description in RNAcentral is "lncRNA (ENSAOWG00000008305.1)". The record is from RNAcentral. Lineage: Eukaryota; Metazoa; Chordata; Aves; Apterygiformes; Apterygidae.
GGCGCGCUGCCCCGGUCCGGCCGCUCGUGCGAGCUCCGCGCUCGGAGACUAACGCUCUCUGGUUUAUCCGUGUAAGUCCGCCCUGGCAGGCCGCAAGGUUCCAGUAGAACUGAGGCAUCUCUGGAUUCCUACUGAUGAAACUUCACUUCACACAUGACCCUUUGAGGACACAGGAGCAGUGGUUAUGUGGUGCUGCAGGCUCUUGAAUGAGAAACAGAGUUGGAAAGAAAAACACUUAGUAGCUUAACUGGAAGAAAACCCCAAAUGCUCAGAUGCGAGGCCAUCUUCAGCUCUGCUGUGCAGCAGAAGAGUGAAUGCUGUGACUAUGCUGAGCAUAGUCAGCAUGUGAUCCUGCAUAGACUGGCAUAUAGUGCAGAAAUAAGGUGGAUGUCAUCUAAAGGUGUAUGUUCCUGGACUCCUGGUUAAAAAUAGGCUGUCUGUCAAGGGUGUGGUAAGCAGUGGACAAUACCAAAACCAGGAGAUAUAAGAACCUUUCCUACAGGAUUAAAAAUUUGACUCUUCUGU